GAAAGACCACAGAGCAGAUGGUUCUCAUGAGGAACUUCUGUCUUUAGUUUCAUCAUCUCCUCUGUCUGCAGAGCCACUGAUCUUUGUUCAACAUGAAGACAGAAUCCACGGAUCUGACUGGGACUCAUAAACCCAAUGUUUACCGGUGUAAAGGUGGCAGGACUCUGUCCAGCAAACGGUGUCUGACCACAGUAGCAAUCUGCUGGGUGAUACUGGUAAUAAUCACUGGUCUGCGCAUCUAUUAUACUUUUCUCCUUUCUCCUAAGUUGAAGGACUCUGAGGAUGUAAAUCAGCAUCUUAAUGAAAAAGUCCAGAUACAACAAUCCGAUUUAUGGCGACUGCAAAAGCAAGAAGCUGCUACAAAGGACUGGA
Molecule: long non-coding RNA, 372 nt
Organism: Xiphophorus couchianus (Monterrey platyfish)
Lineage: Eukaryota; Metazoa; Chordata; Actinopteri; Cyprinodontiformes; Poeciliidae
Exons: 3
Source: RefSeq, a predicted model, not a curated record